CAGUCGCCGCGGGAAUACGAAGGGUGCGAGCGUUAAUCGGAAUUACUGGGCGUAAAGCGUGCGCAGGCGGUUGUGUAAGACAGGUGUGAAAUCCCCGGGCUUAACCUGGGAACUGCGCUUGUGACUGCACAGCUAGAGUAUGGCAGAGGGGGGUGGAAUUCCACGUGUAGCAGUGAAAUGCGUAGAGAUGUGGAGGAACACCGAUGGCGAAGGCAGCCCCCUGGGCCAAUACUGACGCUCAUGCACGAAAGCGUGGGGAGCAAACAGGAUUAGAUACCCCUGUAGUCCCUGUCUCUUAUAC
Molecule: ribosomal RNA, 301 nt
Filed under: uncultured bacterium
Lineage: Bacteria
Description: partial 16S ribosomal RNA
Rfam family: Bacterial small subunit ribosomal RNA
Source: RNAcentral